UGGGGAAUAUUGGACAAUGGGGGGAACCCUGACCCAGCAACGCCGCGUGAAGGAUGAAGUAUUUCGGUAUGUAAACUUCGUAAGAAUAGGAAGAAUAAAUGACGGUACUAUUUGUAAGGUCCGGCUAACUACGUGCCAGCAGCCGCGGUAAUACGUAGGGACCAAGCGUUGUUCGGAUUUACUGGGCGUAAAGGGCGCGUAGGCGGCGUGGUAAGUCAUCUGUGAAAUCUCCGAGCUUAACUCGGAACGGUCAGAUGAUACUGCUGUGCUAGAGUACAGAAAGGGCAAUCGGAAUUCUUGGUGUAGCGGUGAAAUGCGUAGAUAUCAAGAGGAACACCUGAGGCGAAGGCGGGUUGCUGGGCUGACACUGACGCUGAGGCGCGAAAGCCAGGGGAGCAAACGGGAUUAGAUACCCCAGUAGUCCCUGAGCGGGCUGGCAAGGCGCAU
RNAcentral lists this ribosomal RNA (447 nucleotides) under uncultured bacterium. RNAcentral's name for it is "bacterial SSU rRNA". It matches the Rfam family "Bacterial small subunit ribosomal RNA", at positions 355 to 825 of the family's 1533-position model. The record is from RNAcentral.